UUUUGUUUCGCAGGGUUAUCCACAGUCGGCUAAUCCUCUUUGCUCUGUCCGCACAUUAAACGAUAGAAAAUUACGUCUCAAAAAGAUAAUUUUUUUCUAUGGAGGGACAAAGAAAAAGUGGAUCCAACAUUAAAUUUUAUCAUUCCAAGAUUGGUGAACAAAAUCAAUGAGUUGGAAGAAGACUUUUGACUUAAACAGGUCCAAAUUGAUAACUUGACGCGGGAGAAGAGGCUCAAUGAAAGAUGGAGAUGGUGUAGGUUCACUAGGAAGAUCUUUGUAUGUAUUUUGAUUUGUGUUGCUGCUAUGUUCAUUAGCAAUAAAUCAACUGAAAGUAGUUGCUAGAUCUGGUCUACUAUGGUGUAAAUUUUGUAUACCUCUCUCUAAAUAUAUCAGAUUAUGUUUUG
Long non-coding RNA from Capsicum annuum, 404 nucleotides. RefSeq lists it as uncharacterized. The record is from RefSeq and is a predicted model, not a curated record. The transcript is spliced from 2 exons. NCBI's taxonomy places the organism in Eukaryota, Viridiplantae, Streptophyta, Magnoliopsida, Solanales, Solanaceae.